RNAcentral lists this ribosomal RNA (506 nucleotides) under uncultured bacterium. RNAcentral describes it as "partial 16S ribosomal RNA". It matches the Rfam family "Bacterial small subunit ribosomal RNA", at positions 30 to 523 of the family's 1533-position model. The record is from RNAcentral.
AUUGAACGCUGGCGGCAGGCCUAACACAUGCAAGUCGAACGGUAACAGGAAACAGCUUGCUGUUUCGCUGACGAGUGGCGGACGGGUGAGUAAUGUCUGGGAAACUGCCUGAUGGAGGGGGAUAACUACUGGAAACGGUAGCUAAUACCGCAUAACGUCGCAAGACCAAAGAGGGGGACCUUCGGGCCUCUUGCCAUCGGAUGUGCCCAGAUGGGAUUAGCUUGUUGGUGGGGUAACGGCUCACCAAGGCGACGAUCCCUAGCUGGUCUGAGAGCAUGACCAGACACACUGGAAAUGAGACCCGGUCCAGACUCCUACGGGAGGCAGCAGUGGGGAAUAUUGCACAAUGGGCGCAAGCCUGAUGCAGCCAUGCCGCGUGUAUGAAGAAAGCCUUCGGGUUGUAAAGUACUUUCAGCGGGGAGGAAGGGAGUAAAGUUAAUACCUUUACUCAUUGACGUUACCCGCAGAAGAAGCACCGGCUAACUCCGUGCCAGCAGCCGCCGUAA